UCUUCUACUUAUACUUAUUCUUCUUCUACUUCUUCUUCUUCUUCUUCUUCUUCUUCUUCUUCUACUUCUUCUUCUACUUCUUCUUCUACUUCUUCUUCUUCUUCUUCUUCUUCUUCAGAAAGUGACUUUUCCUCGGCCUCAGGACGGAGUUGAUUGAUUGUAUUUUAUGAAACUUUAUUGAACACGUCUGCGUGGAGGAGAGCGAGAGCAGCUUCUUCUUCUUCUUCUUCCUCCUCCUCUUCCUCCUCUUCCUCAGUGUGGCAGCAUGUGUUGAGGCUUCAGACGAACUCCGUUUGAAGAGGUUUUUUUAACCCUUUCUACUCUUUACCGUUGACUCCCGCUGUGAGUAGGUAGAUCCGGUGUGUAGUUCAGUGACGUGUUGUGUUUGUGAGCUUCUAGUAAAACGCAGUGUUGUUUACACUUUUAUCAGCAUUGACGAUGAUGAUGAUCACCUGUACAUAGUUUGAUUCAGAUGAUGACGGAUGUCUCCACCGCUCCACCAGAGACACAGUUAAUGUUCAGACCCCCCAAAAUACCAGAAUUUGACCUUUGACCUUGAAUCCAACCUGAUCUGAUAGCACACGCUCUACCUCUCUCUGUACGGGGGCUUCCACAGUUAUACACAAAUGAUGCCGACGUCUCUGCAGGCGACCUGAUGCCUCAACGUACGGUGGCCCAGACGGACCAAACAUCUGGUUCAGGUCACGGAUCUAUCCAGAGAAGGAAACCAGAGUAUUUAUACUACUAUACUGUAGUGAGCCAAGGUAUUUACUCAUAAAACAUACACAGAAUUAAGAGGUGCUAUUUCCUGCAUUUCUAAUUUUACCCCCGUUUCAUAUCUCAGAUCUCAGCCGUCAGAAAACUACAAAGUGAGAACAGGAAGUGUGUUUCUAUCGGCGUGUUAACGGAUCAAUAGGAGUGAUUCUGUUCUGUCUGAGCCACCGUAUGAGACCCUGAACACAUCCGUCCCUGAAGGGCUCAUCUCUUUAAACAGGAACCAAACCUACAAAACCUCUGGAGCCCUGAAAACAUCUGGUUUAUGUUGUUAGAAGUACUGAAAACAUCUGCUUUAUGUUGUUAGAAGUACUGAAAACAUCUGGUUUAUGUUGUUAGAAGUACUGAAAACAUCUGCUUUAUGUUGUUAGAAGUACUGAAAACAUCUGGUUUAUGUUGUUAGCAGUACUGAAAACAUCUGGUUUAUGUUGUUAGAAGUACUGAAAACAUCUGCUUUAUGUUGUUAGCAGUACUGAAAACAUCUGCUUUAUGUUGUUAGAAGUACUGAAAACAUCUGCUUUAUGUUGUUAGAAGUACUGAAAAUACUCCACUACAAAAAAGUAAAAGUCCUGCACUCAAACUGUUACUGAAGUAAAAGAACACCCGCCUCCCCUCUCUGAUGCUUCCUGACUAAACAAGCAACUCUCUGAUUGGUCCAUUCGACUGUCAGUCAAAGGAGGCGUCUCCUGAACCGGGUCAAAGGUCAGACUCUGGGCUGGAGUUUGGUUCCUCUUUAAAUAAUCUGGUAAAAACAAGAACACACGUCUUCUGUUACACCUGUCCACAGCGCUCACCUGUCCACCUGUCUGCAGGUAAACACCUGUCCACAGGUGUUCUACCUGUCCACAGGUGUUUUACCUGUCCACAGGUGUUCUACCUGUGCUUUACCUGUCCACAGGUGUUCUACCUGUCCACAGGUGUUUUACCUGUCCACAGGUGUUCUACCUGUGCUUUACCUGUCCACAGUUGUUCUACCUGUCCACAGGUGUGUAUAACUUCUUGCCAAAUGGAGCUCACUGGCUGAGUAGCGGUCCUGGUAGACAGCAUGUACUCUGUAUAUUUGAUUUACAUCUAUACUCUUAUUAUGUUAUUAAUAUGAUAUUAAUCUGGGCUCUGAGGGGCCGUCGGGGGGGCGGAGGUGGGCGGGGCUAAACUGUAAACGGUGUUUGUUUUGUGUUUGCUGAGUGAACUCGUACCUCUUUUAUUUUGAAGGAUGACAUAUAACGGUAUCUCUGCAUGUAUUAUUUAUUUCUGUUGAUCAUAUCAGAUUAAAAACUCUGAAUCCUGCAGAAGGUCAGUCUGAACCAGCUGACCCGAGGUCACCUGAGGUCACCUGAGGUCACCUGAGGUCAGUCUGAACCAGCUGACCCGAGGUCAGUCUGAACCAGCUGACCCGAGGUCACCUGAGGUCACCUGAGGUCAGUCUGAACCAGCUGACCUGAGGUCAGCUGAGGUCAGUCUGACGGACACUGAGAGAGGAUUCACAUCAUGUACAGUAAGGAUAGUUGAUAGAAUCAGUCUUCUGUUCUUCUUCCUGCUGGAGCUUCUGAUCAUAAAACUCUCUGAUAUCACAACAA
Molecule: long non-coding RNA, 2351 nt
Organism: Sebastes umbrosus (honeycomb rockfish)
Lineage: Eukaryota; Metazoa; Chordata; Actinopteri; Perciformes; Sebastidae
Exons: 2
Source: RefSeq, a predicted model, not a curated record